AUUGAACGCUGGCGGCAUGCCUUACACAUGCAAGUCGAACGGUAACAGGACUUCGGAUGCUGACGAGUGGCGAACGGGUGGGUAAUACAUCGGAACGUGCCUAGUAGUGGGGGAUAACUACUCGAAAGAGUGGCUAAUACCGCAUGAGAUCUACGGAUGAAAGCAGGGGAUCGCAAGACCUUGUGCUACUAGAGCGGCCGAUGGCAGAUUAGGUAGUUGGUGGGAUAAAAGCUUACCAAGCCGACGAUCUGUAGCUGGUCUGAGAGGACGAUCAGCCACACUGGGACUGAGACACGGCCCAGACUCCUACGGGAGGCAGCAGUGGGGAAUUUUGGACAAUGGGCGAAAGCCUGAUCCAGCAAUGCCGCGUGCAGGAUGAAGGCCUUCGGGUUGUAAACUGCUUUUGUACGGAACGAAAAGCCCUGGGUUAAUACCCUGGGGUCAUGACGGUACCGUAAGAAUAAGCACCGGCUAACUACGUGCCAGCCGCCGCGGUAA
Molecule: ribosomal RNA, 498 nt
Filed under: uncultured bacterium
Lineage: Bacteria
Description: partial 16S ribosomal RNA
Rfam family: Bacterial small subunit ribosomal RNA
Source: RNAcentral